RNAcentral lists this ribosomal RNA (277 nucleotides) under uncultured eukaryote. RNAcentral's name for it is "partial 18S ribosomal RNA". It matches the Rfam family "Eukaryotic small subunit ribosomal RNA", at positions 21 to 295 of the family's 1831-position model. The record is from RNAcentral.
UAGUUAUAUGCUUGUCUCAAAGAUUAAGCCAUGCAUGUCUAAGUACACACGAAUUAAUAGUGAAACCGCAAAAGGCUCAUUAUAUCAGUUAUGGUUUCUUAGAUCGUUAACAGUUACUUGGAUAACUGUGGUAAUUCUAGAGCUAAUACAUGCAUUAAAAACACGAACCUUUUGGGACGUGUGCUUUUAUUAGGCUAAAACCAAGCGGUCGCAAGAUCGUUAUAUGGUUGAACUCUAGAUAACAUGCAGAUCGUAUGGUCUUGUACCGACGACAGAU